This 253-nucleotide ribosomal RNA is filed under the name uncultured bacterium. RNAcentral describes it as "partial 16S ribosomal RNA". It matches the Rfam family "Bacterial small subunit ribosomal RNA", at positions 524 to 776 of the family's 1533-position model. The record is from RNAcentral.
UACGUAGGGUGCAAGCGUUGUCCGGAAUUAUUGGGCGUAAAGAGCUCGUAGGCGGUCUGUCGCGUCGGAUGUGAAAACCCAGGGCUCAACCCUGGGCCUGCAUUCGAUACGGGCAGACUAGAGUUCGGUAGGGGAGACUGGAAUUCCUGGUGUAGCGGUGAAAUGCGCAGAUAUCAGGAGGAACACCUGUGGCGAAGGCGGGUCUCUGGGCCGAAACUGACGCUGAGGAGCGAAAGCGUGGGGAGCAAACAGG